UUGACAUGCAGAGAACUUUCCAGAGAUGGAUUGGUGCCGUUCGGGAACUCUGACACAGGUGCUGCAUGGUUGUCGUCAGCUCGUGCCGUGAGGUGUCGGGUUAAGUCCCAUAACGAGCGCAACCCCUACUGCUAGUUGCCAGCGGGUCAUGCCGGGGACUCUAGCGGAACUGCCAGCGUAAGCUGCGAGGAAGGUGGGGAUGACGUCAAAUCAGCACGGCCCUUACGUCCAGGGCUACACACGUGCUACAAUGGCCGGCACAACGGGAAGCGAAGGGGCGACCCUGAGCGGAUCCCCAUAAAAGCCGGUCCCAGUUCGGAUUGCAGUCUGCAACUCGACUGCAUGAAGUUGGAAUCGCUAGUAAUCGUGGAUCAGCCAAGCCGCGGUGAAUACGUUCCCGGGCCUU
RNAcentral lists this ribosomal RNA (406 nucleotides) under uncultured bacterium. RNAcentral describes it as "bacterial SSU rRNA". It matches the Rfam family "Bacterial small subunit ribosomal RNA", at positions 981 to 1382 of the family's 1533-position model. The record is from RNAcentral.